CCUACGGGAGGCAGCAGUGGGGAAUAUUGCACAAUGGGGGGAACCCUGAUGCAGCGACGCCGCGUGGGUGAAGGAGUAUUUCGGUAUGUAAAGCCCUAUCAGCAGGGAAGAACAAUGACGGUACCUGACUAAGAAGCACCGGCUAAAUACGUGCCAGCAGCCGCGGUAAUACGUAUGGUGCAAGCGUUAUCCGGAUUUACUGGGUGUAAAGGGGGCGAAGGCGGCGGGUUAGGCCUGGUGUGAAAGUCCGCGGCCAAACCGCGGGACUGCAUUGGGAACGGGCGCGCUGGAGUGCCGGAGGGGUAGGCGGAAUUCCUAGUGUAGCGGUGAAAUGCGUAGAUAUUAGGAGGAACACCAGUGGCGAAGGCGGCCUACUGGACGGUGACUGACGCUGAGGCUCGAAAGCGUGGGGAGCAAACAGGAUUAGAUACCCGAGUAGUC
RNAcentral lists this ribosomal RNA (441 nucleotides) under uncultured bacterium. Its description in RNAcentral is "partial 16S ribosomal RNA". It matches the Rfam family "Bacterial small subunit ribosomal RNA", at positions 338 to 795 of the family's 1533-position model. The record is from RNAcentral.